CCCGUGUUCAUUUCCGUUACGUGAAAAGACUGGGCAUGACAACAGUGGGCAUGCCUGGGCAUGGCUUCACAUUUCCGGCUGGAGGUAUCGUUCCAGUUAUUUUUAGUUCAAUGGGUAUACCUUCCUAUAACCUGAAGUUCAGGCCCUAAUUUGAAAUAGGGCCUGACACAAAACCUGUCUAGACCGUGGGACGCCCACAUGUUAUUUUUAGACACACAUGCAAUAUGAUUGACAAGUGUUGUAGAUUUCGUUACACAAAAAAAUUAUAUUCUCA
Molecule: non-coding RNA, 274 nt
Organism: Paramuricea clavata
Lineage: Eukaryota; Metazoa; Cnidaria; Anthozoa; Malacalcyonacea; Plexauridae
Source: the annotation of a GenBank genome assembly